This 216-nucleotide ribosomal RNA is filed under the name Glomeromycotina sp. Its description in RNAcentral is "partial small subunit ribosomal RNA". The stretch from base 40 to 216 matches the Rfam family "Eukaryotic small subunit ribosomal RNA", at positions 686 to 864 of the family's 1831-position model. The record is from RNAcentral. Lineage: Eukaryota; Fungi; Glomeromycota.
GGGUCAGUAGGUUGGUCGUGCCACCGGUACGUACUGGACUCACUGAUUCCUCCUUCCUGAAGAACCGUAAUGCCAUUAAUUUGGCGUUGCGGGGAAACAGGACUGUUACUUUGAAAAAAUUAGAGUGUUUAAAGCAAGCUAACGCUUGAAUACAUUAGCAUGGAAUAAUGAAAUAGGACGAUCGAUCCUAUUUUGUUGGUUUCUAGGAUUGACGUA